RNAcentral lists this ribosomal RNA (460 nucleotides) under uncultured bacterium. Its description in RNAcentral is "partial 16S ribosomal RNA". It matches the Rfam family "Bacterial small subunit ribosomal RNA", at positions 338 to 795 of the family's 1533-position model. The record is from RNAcentral.
CCUACGGGUGGCAGCAGUGAGGAAUAUUGGUCAAUGGACGAGAGUCUGAACCAGCCAAGUAGCGUGAAGGAUGACUGCCCUAUGGGUUGUAAACUUCUUUUAUAUGGGAAUAAAACGUUCCACGUGUGGGAUUUUGUAUGUACCAUAUGAAUAAGGAUCGGCUAACUCCGUGCCAGCAGCCGCGGUAAUACGGAGGAUCCGAGCGUUAUCCGGAUUUAUUGGGUUUAAAGGGAGCGUAGGUGGAUUGUAAAGUCAGUUGUGAAAGUUUGCGGCUCAACCGUAAAAUUGCAGUUGAAACUGGCAGUCUUGAGUACAGUAGAGGUGGGCGGAAUUCGUGGUGUAGCGGUGAAAUGCUUAGAUAUCACGAAGAACUCCGAUUGCGAAGGCAGUUCACUGGACUGCAACUGACACUGAGGCUCGAAAGUGUGGGUAUCAAACAGGAUUAGAUACCCUUGUAGUC